RNAcentral lists this ribosomal RNA (253 nucleotides) under uncultured bacterium. RNAcentral describes it as "partial 16S ribosomal RNA". It matches the Rfam family "Bacterial small subunit ribosomal RNA", at positions 524 to 776 of the family's 1533-position model. The record is from RNAcentral.
UACGGAGGGUGCAAGCAUUGAUCGGAAUUACUGGGCGUAAAGGGCGCGUAGGCGGUCUGAAAAGUCAGAUGUGAAAUUCCGGGGCUCAACCCCGGAGCUGCAUUUGAAACUUUCAGACUUGAGGUUGGUAAGGGAAAACAGAAUUCCACGUGUAGCGGUGAAAUGCGUAGAUAUGUGGAAGAAUACCGGUGGUGAAGACGGGUGACUGGGCUGGUUCUGACACUGAGGCACGAAAGCGUGGGGAGCGAACGGG